CCUACGGGUGGCAGCAGUAGGGAAUAUUGCUCAAUGGGGGAAACCCUGAAGCAGCAACGCCGCGUGGAGGAUGAAGGUUUUCGGAUUGUUAACUCCUUUUGUUAGAGAAGAAAAUGAUGGUAUGUAACGUAUAUGCACCGGCUCACUUCGUGCCAGCAGCCGCGGUAAUACGGAGGGUGCAGGCGUUACUCGGAAUUACUGGGCGUAAAGGGCGCGUAGGGGGGAUAGAAAGUCAGAUGUGAAAUCCUAUGGCUUAACCAUAGAACUGCUUUUGAAACUGUGAUUCUAGAGUAUGGUAGAGGUAGGUGGAAUGCUUGGUGUAGGGGUAAAAUCCUUAGAGAUCAAGAGGAAUACUCAUUGCGAAGGCGACCUGCUAGAACAUGACUGACGCUGAUGCGCGAAAGCGUGGGGAGCAAACAGGAUUAGAUACCCUAGUAGUC
RNAcentral lists this ribosomal RNA (440 nucleotides) under uncultured bacterium. RNAcentral's name for it is "partial 16S ribosomal RNA". It matches the Rfam family "Bacterial small subunit ribosomal RNA", at positions 338 to 795 of the family's 1533-position model. The record is from RNAcentral.